AAAGCCUAAGGUGUGGGUUAAUGGAGUAUAAUAGUAUUUUCACUAUUAUACUCCAUUAACCCACACCUUGAGGCCAGGU
Xyrichtys novacula (pearly razorfish) is the source of this 79-nucleotide non-coding RNA. The record is from the annotation of a GenBank genome assembly. NCBI's taxonomy places the organism in Eukaryota, Metazoa, Chordata, Actinopteri, Labriformes, Labridae.